This 427-nucleotide long non-coding RNA is filed under the name Capsella rubella. RNAcentral's name for it is "long non-coding RNA (CRUB_LNC001183)". The record is from RNAcentral. Lineage: Eukaryota; Viridiplantae; Streptophyta; Magnoliopsida; Brassicales; Brassicaceae.
GAUGUGUAUAUACGAAGUACAUUAUUAAUUUAAGUUCUAUAGCGUAAUUAUAUAUAGUAAAUUUGAGAAUAUAUAUGUUCUUAUAUUUAAUUAUAGCUAAAAUGACUUCUCGAUUCAUAAGCUAUGCAUCAAGUACGAGAAAGCUAACGUGACCCACAUGGUAUAUUAGAGCUUAUAAUAUAGUAGGAAAUUGCAAUUCGGAUUAUUUUUUUUUUUUUUUCCAUAUUAAUAUGUUAUAUAUAUGUAUGCAUCAAGAAUGUAUAUUGUAAGUAGCAAUGCCAUGCGUAGAUGACCCCUCAUGCACACAUGAAGAACAUCAAAUGGGUCCUCGCAUAUAGUUGUAUGUAAUUUAAAAUCCAAAUGAAUUUGUCCAAUGGUCGAAUCCAAAGAUGGAGAAAAACACCAAAUAUUACAGUUCAUUUUUUGU